GACGAACGCUGGCGGCGUGCUUAACACAUGCAAGUCGAACGGAAAGGCCCUGCUUUUGUGGGGUGCUCGAGUGGCGAACGGGUGAGUAACACGUGAGUAACCUGCCCUUGACUUUGUGAUAACUUCAGGAAACUGGGGCUAAUACCGGAUAGGAGCUCCUGCUGCAUGGUGGGGGUUGGAAAGUUUCGGCGGUUGGGGAUGGACUCGCGGCUUAUCAGCUUGUUGGUGGGGUAGUGGCUGACCAAGGCUUUGACGGGUAGCCCGCCUGAGAGGGUGACCGGCGACAAUGGGACUGAGAGACGGCCCAGACUGCUACGGGAGGCAGAAGUGGGGAAUAUUGCACAAUGGGCGGAAGCCUGAUGCAGCAACGCCGCGUGCGGGAUGACGGCCUUCGGGUUGUAAACCGCUUUCGCCUGUGACGAAGCGUGAGUGACGGUAAUGGGUAAAGAAGCACCAGCUAACUACGUG
Molecule: ribosomal RNA, 468 nt
Filed under: uncultured bacterium
Lineage: Bacteria
Description: partial 16S ribosomal RNA
Rfam family: Bacterial small subunit ribosomal RNA
Source: RNAcentral